UCAUAAGAUGGGGACGUUAAGCAUGCAGCAACUACAGUCAUUUGUUCUCAGAGGUCUGGACCAAAGAGAAACAAGAAAAGCUGGAGUCACACUACCAAAGGCCGAAGCUGAGCAACAGAGCUCUGGAGUCAGCUGCCUGGGUUCAGCAUGCAGCGCUGCCGUGGACGAUCUGUCUCUCUUGCAUAUAUGACUUACCAGUUUUACUUUCAGUCUCUCCAUUUCUAAUUAAAUGAGAUGCAGAAA
RNAcentral lists this long non-coding RNA (243 nucleotides) under Homo sapiens (human). RNAcentral's name for it is "non-protein coding LINC01871:11". The record is from RNAcentral. Lineage: Eukaryota; Metazoa; Chordata; Mammalia; Primates; Hominidae.